CACCACAAAACUACAAUGUGAUGAUGUGGCCAAAGAUCGGACGCAUUUACCUAGAAGAUGCCUAUUCACUCUUGUUUUAAAGAUACUCGGAUUG
This is a long non-coding RNA of Maniola jurtina (meadow brown), 94 nucleotides long. RefSeq lists it as uncharacterized. The record is from RefSeq and is a predicted model, not a curated record. NCBI's taxonomy places the organism in Eukaryota, Metazoa, Arthropoda, Insecta, Lepidoptera, Nymphalidae. The transcript has 3 exons.